RNAcentral lists this long non-coding RNA (411 nucleotides) under Panax ginseng (ginseng). RNAcentral describes it as "long non-coding RNA (PGIN_LNC003127)". Lineage: Eukaryota; Viridiplantae; Streptophyta; Magnoliopsida; Apiales; Araliaceae. The record is from RNAcentral.
UUUAGUAUUGAUUUGUGUUUUGUUGCUUGAGGACACGCAACGAUUUAAGUUUGGGGUAUUUGAUGAUUGGGUAAUAUACCCAUGAAUUGUAUAUAUUUGGACUUAAGUUAUUGUAUUCUCAAGUUAUUUAGAAGCAUUUUUAGUGUGUUUAGUUGUUGUUUUGCAGAUUCGGGAGCUGCAGGGGCAUUUCUGGGAAUCUUAAGCUUUUAAUGGCAUGACGGUAAAUAUUCAGCCUACAGCGCCGGGGCGCUGGGGCGGAACCUCAGUUGACCGACACGCGAGCGUUGACUUUUAGGCUGAAUUGAUUAGUGAAGGUUAUUUGAAACCUAAUUGGAUUGAGAUUGUGGCAAGCAAUAAAAAGAGACCAAGUGAUGUAAUUAAGCAUCUUAUCAAUUCAUUCAUUCAUUGGAG